Picea glauca (white spruce) is the source of this 119-nucleotide non-coding RNA. Lineage: Eukaryota; Viridiplantae; Streptophyta; Pinopsida; Pinales; Pinaceae. The record is from Rfam.
GGGUGCGAUCAUACCAGAGUUAAUGCACCGGAUCCCAUCAGAACUCCGCAGUUAAGCGUCCUUGGGCUAGAGAAGUAUUGGGAUGGGUGACCUCCCGGGAAGUCCUGGUGUUGCACCCU